Molecule: ribosomal RNA, 574 nt
Filed under: uncultured bacterium
Lineage: Bacteria
Description: partial 16S ribosomal RNA
Rfam family: Bacterial small subunit ribosomal RNA
Source: RNAcentral
UGGGGAAUUUUGGACAAUGGGGGCAACCCUGAUCCAGCAAUGCCGCGUGUGUGAAGAAGGCCUUCGGGUUGUAAAGCACUUUUGUCCGGAAAGAAAACGUCGUGGUUAAUACCCGUGGCGGCUGACGGUACCGGAAGAAUAAGCACCGGCUAACUACGUGCCAGCAGCCGCGGUAAUACGUAGGGUGCAAGCGUUAAUCGGAAUUACUGGGCGUAAAGCGUGCGCAGGCGGUCCGCUAAGACAGAUGUGAAAUCCCCGGGCUUAACCUGGGAACUGCAUUUGUGACUGGCGGGCUAGAGUAUGGCAGAGGGGGGUAGAAUUCCACGUGUAGCAGUGAAAUGCGUAGAGAUGUGGAGGAAUACCGAUGGCGAAGGCAGCCCCCUGGGCCAAUACUGACGCUCAUGCACGAAAGCGUGGGGGAGCAAAACAGGAUUAGAUACCCUGGUAGUCCACGCCCUAAACGAUGUCAACUAGUUGUCGGGUCUUCAUUGACUUGGUAACGUAGCUAACGCGUGAAGUUGACCGCCUGGGAGUACGGUCGCAAGAUUAAAAACUUAAAUGAAUUNACGGGGUC